UUAAGUUAUUAAGGGCGCACGGUGGAUGCCUUGGCACUAGAAGCCGAUGAAGGACGUUACUAACGACGAUAUGCUUUGGGGAGCUGUAAGUAAGCUUUGAUCCAGAGAUUUCCGAAUGGGGAAACCCAGCAUGAGUUAUGUCAUGUUAUCGAUAUGUGAAUACAUAGCAUAUCAGAAGGCACACCCGGAGAACUGAAACAUCUUAGUACCCGGAGGAAGAGAAAGAAAAUUCGAUUCCCUUAGUAGCGGCGAGCGAAACGGGAAGAGCCCAAACCAACAAGCUUGCUUGUUGGGGUUGUAGGACACUCUAUACGGAGUUACAAAGGACGACAUUAGACGAAUCAUCUGGAAAGAUGAAUCAAAGAAGGUAAUAAUCCUGUAGUCGAAAAUGUUGUCUCUCUUGAGUGGAUCCUGAGUACGACGGAGCACGUGAAAUUCCGUCGGAAUCUGGGAGGACCAUCUCCUAAGGCUAAAUACUCUCUAGUGACCGAUAGUGAACCAGUACCGUGAGGGAAAGGUGAAAAGCACCCCGGAAGGGGAGUGAAAUAGAACCUGAAACCGUGUGCUUACAAGUAGUCAGAGCCCGUUAAUGGGUGAUGGCGUGCCUUUUGUAGAAUGAACCGGCGAGUUACGAUUUGAUGCAAGGUUAAGCAGUAAAUGUGGAGCCGUAGCGAAAGCGAGUCUGAAUAGGGCGUUUAGUAUUUGGUCGUAGACCCGAAACCAGGUGAUCUACCCUUGGUCAGGUUGAAGUUCAGGUAACACUGAAUGGAGGACCGAACCGACUUACGUUGAAAAGUGAGCGGAUGAACUGAGGGUAGCGGAGAAAUUCCAAUCGAACCUGGAGAUAGCUGGUUCUCUCCGAAAUAGCUUUAGGGCUAGCCUCAAGUGAUGAUUAUUGGAGGUAGAGCACUGUUUGGACGAGGGGCCCCUCUCGGGUUACCGAAUUCAGACAAACUCCGAAUGCCAAUUAAUUUAACUUGGGAGUCAGAACAUGGGUGAUAAGGUCCGUGUUCGAAAGGGAAACAGCCCAGACCACCAGCUAAGGUCCCAAAAUAUAUGUUAAGUGGAAAAGGAUGUGGCGUUGCCCAGACAACUAGGAUGUUGGCUUAGAAGCAGCCAUCAUUUAAAGAGUGCGUAAUAGCUCACUAGUCGAGUGACACUGCGCCGAAAAUGUACCGGGGCUAAACAUAUUACCGAAGCUGUGGAUUGUCCUUUGGACAAUGGUAGGAGAGCGUUCUAAGGGCGUUGAAGCAUGAUCGUAAGGACAUGUGGAGCGCUUAGAAGUGAGAAUGCCGGUGUGAGUAGCGAAAGACGGGUGAGAAUCCCGUCCACCGAUUGACUAAGGUUUCCAGAGGAAGGCUCGUCCGCUCUGGGUUAGUCGGGUCCUAAGCUGAGGCCGACAGGCGUAGGCGAUGGAUAACAGGUUGAUAUUCCUGUACCACCUAUAAUCGUUUUAAUCGAUGGGGGGACGCAGUAGGAUAGGCGAAGCGUGCGAUUGGAUUGCACGUCUAAGCAGUAAGGCUGAGUAUUAGGCAAAUCCGGUACUCGUUAAGGCUGAGCUGUGAUGGGGAGAAGACAUUGUGUCUUCGAGUCGUUGAUUUCACACUGCCGAGAAAAGCCUCUAGAUAGAAAAUAGGUGCCCGUACCGCAAACCGACACAGGUAGUCAAGAUGAGAAUUCUAAGGUGAGCGAGCGAACUCUCGUUAAGGAACUCGGCAAAAUGACCCCGUAACUUCGGGAGAAGGGGUGCUCUUUAGGGUUAACGCCCAGAAGAGCCGCAGUGAAUAGGCCCAAGCGACUGUUUAUCAAAAACACAGGUCUCUGCUAAACCGUAAGGUGAUGUAUAGGGGCUGACGCCUGCCCGGUGCUGGAAGGUUAAGAGGAGUGGUUAGCUUCUGCGAAGCUACGAAUCGAAGCCCCAGUAAACGGCGGCCGUAACUAUAACGGUCCUAAGGUAGCGAAAUUCCUUGUCGGGUAAGUUCCGACCCGCACGAAAGGCGUAACGAUUUGGGCACUGUCUCAACGAGAGACUCGGUGAAAUCAUAGUACCUGUGAAGAUGCAGGUUACCCGCGACAGGACGGAAAGACCCCGUGGAGCUUUACUGUAGCCUGAUAUUGAAAUUCGGCACAGCUUGUACAGGAUAGGUAGGAGCCUUUGAAACGUGAGCGCUAGCUUACGUGGAGGCGCUGGUGGGAUACUACCCUAGCU
Molecule: ribosomal RNA, 2209 nt
Filed under: Staphylococcus aureus VET0241R
Lineage: Bacteria; Bacillati; Bacillota; Bacilli; Caryophanales; Staphylococcaceae
Description: bacterial LSU rRNA
Rfam family: Bacterial large subunit ribosomal RNA
Source: RNAcentral